Molecule: transfer RNA, 541 nt
Filed under: uncultured Prochlorococcus sp.
Lineage: Bacteria; Bacillati; Cyanobacteriota; Cyanophyceae; Synechococcales; Prochlorococcaceae
Description: partial 16S-23S ribosomal RNA intergenic spacer
Rfam family: tRNA (bases 212-284)
Source: RNAcentral
CAGGGAGACAACAAAAUGUUUAAUAUUAUUAUUUUGUCACCUUAGGUCGAUCGGUAUCUCACGUUUUUAAUUUAUUAAGAAUUUCAUUUCCUAAGUUUUUCUAGGUCACACCCAUUAUUUUUCCUGGGCCAUUAGCUCAGGUGGUUAGAGCGCACCCCUGAUAAGGGUGAGGUCCCUGGUUCAAGUCCAGGAUGGCCCAUAUCUCUAUGUUGGGGGUAUAGCUCAGUUGGUAGAGCGCCUGCUUUGCAAGCAGGAUGUCAGCGGUUCGAGUCCGCUUACCUCCACUGAUCACCACCUCUUUCAUAAUCGGUACAAAGGAAAUUUUUUGAGUUGUGAUCAAAUUCUGAAAGAAUCUAGCUUCCUAAUGAAAUCAUUAAGAUGCUGGACUCAUUGAAUUAAUUUCAUUGUUUUCAGAGAACCUUGACAACUGCAUAGAUUAUUUUUAAAGACAAUAAGCAUCUUUAAUGAUGCAGAUUUAUUAUUUGUGCAAAUGCAUUAAUAACAAUUCUAUUAAGCUGAUGCUUCAAUAUUUGAAGUUAUU